Molecule: ribosomal RNA, 491 nt
Filed under: Meccus longipennis
Lineage: Eukaryota; Metazoa; Arthropoda; Insecta; Hemiptera; Reduviidae
Description: partial 28S ribosomal RNA
Rfam family: Eukaryotic large subunit ribosomal RNA
Source: RNAcentral
GCCCUAUUCAGUGUAACUGCUGUGGUAGUGGGUUUGGUCGCUCGCAUUUAAAUUGGAAGGGUAAUGGUGGACCGCACUUCUCCCUUAGUAGGACGUUGCGACCUGUCAAAUAAUAUCCUAAGUAUAUGGCUAAUUUGUCUGUUUUUAGGCAAUACCGCGAGGUAUUUCCUUUAACAGUUUUAGCCGUUUAUAUAUACUGGAUAUAAUUGACAGUAACGAAUCAUGGUGUUGAGCCACUUGAAAUUGUAUAUUUAUAUGUAUAAUGGAAAGUGUCCUUGUGGCUGUUUGCAAGUGGGUUGGUUAAUUAGUUUUAGUCGGAUUUUGGUCCGUCUAGCUAUUCCGCCUACUGUUGGUAAACUGUUCCUUGGACAGUGCUUACAACACCGGUCGGCAGCGAUUCAGGUUCAGGCUCUUAUCCGACCCGUCUUGAAACACGGACCAAGGAGUUUAGCGUGUACGCAAGUCAUUGGGUGUAUAAAACCCAAAGGCGC